RNAcentral lists this ribosomal RNA (253 nucleotides) under uncultured bacterium. Its description in RNAcentral is "partial 16S ribosomal RNA". It matches the Rfam family "Bacterial small subunit ribosomal RNA", at positions 524 to 776 of the family's 1533-position model. The record is from RNAcentral.
UACGUAGGGACCGAGCGUUGUCCGGAAUCAUUGGGCGUAAAGAGCGUGUAGGCGGCCACUUAAGUCCUGCGUGAAAUCUUGCGGCUCAACCGCAAGCGGUCGUGGGAAACUGGGUGGCUAGAGUGCGGGAGAGGAGAGUGGAAUUCCUGGUGUAGCGGUGGAAUGCGCAGAUAUCAGGAAGAACACCCGUGGCGAAGGCAGCUCUCUGGAACGCAACUGACGCUGAGACGCGAAAGCGUGGGGAGCAAACAGG